CACCGCGUAGUGUAGUGGCUAGCACGCUCGACUAACAAUCGAGAGGGCCCGGGUUCGAGUCCCGGGAAGCGGCGA
Molecule: transfer RNA, 75 nt
Filed under: Portunus trituberculatus (swimming crab)
Lineage: Eukaryota; Metazoa; Arthropoda; Malacostraca; Decapoda; Portunidae
Description: tRNA-Val
Rfam family: tRNA (bases 8-65)
About the family: Transfer RNA (tRNA) molecules are approximately 80 nucleotides in length.
Source: RNAcentral